This is a non-coding RNA of Paramuricea clavata, 93 nucleotides long. Lineage: Eukaryota; Metazoa; Cnidaria; Anthozoa; Malacalcyonacea; Plexauridae. The record is from the annotation of a GenBank genome assembly.
UAUUCAUUAACAGCCCGGAUUACAGGCAUCCACAACUGCAUUAUAUAUUGUCUGUAUAAUGUAGUUGUGGAUGCCUGUAAUCUGGGCUCAUAU